CAGGCCUAACACAUGCAAGUCGAGCGAAUGGAUUAAGAGCUUGCUCUUAUGAAGUUAGCGGCGGACGGGUGAGUAACACGUGGGUAACCUGCCCAUAAGACUGGGAUAACUCCGGGAAACCGGGGCUAAUACCGGAUAACAUUUUGAACCGCAUGGUUCGAAAUUGAAAGGCGGCUUCGGCUGUCACUUAUGGAUGGACCCGCGUCGCAUUAGCUAGUUGGUGAGGUAACGGCUCACCAAGGCAACGAUGCGUAGCCGACCUGAGAGGGUGAUCGGCCACACUGGGACUGAGACACGGCCCAGACUCCUACGGGAGGCAGCAGUAGGGAAUCUUCCGCAAUGGACGAAAGUCUGACGGAGCAACGCCGCGUGAGUGAUGAAGGCUUUCGGGUCGUAAAACUCUGUUGUUAGGGAAGAACAAGUGCUAGUUGAAUAAGCUGGCACCUUGACGGUACCUAACCAGAAAGCC
This 469-nucleotide ribosomal RNA is filed under the name Bacillus sp. BT-B191. RNAcentral describes it as "bacterial SSU rRNA". It matches the Rfam family "Bacterial small subunit ribosomal RNA", at positions 43 to 492 of the family's 1533-position model. Lineage: Bacteria; Bacillati; Bacillota; Bacilli; Caryophanales; Bacillaceae. The record is from RNAcentral.